Molecule: long non-coding RNA, 1122 nt
Organism: Equus caballus (horse)
Lineage: Eukaryota; Metazoa; Chordata; Mammalia; Perissodactyla; Equidae
Source: Ensembl
UUGAAGGGGUCUUGAUGGAUAAGGAAACAGGAGAAAAACUAGGCAGCUGAACAGAUACAGAAGCCAAAGGUGGAGAGAAAGGAGGGGGUAGUCAACAUCGCCCCAUGCCCCGGGGGACCAGAGAGGAUGGAGAUUCAGGCCAUAGGUCUGACUUUUGAGAAUGAUUUCUUCAGAUUGGGACUUGCCAGACAUCUUCUUCAGUUAUGUACGUAGCCUUGGAAACAAAGACUUCUGCCAUCAGAUGGAGAAACUGAGGCUACGAGAGGUUUAGUGACUUUCCAAAGAUCACCCAGAGUGCGGACUCAAAUCUAGAUCUUUGACAACAAAGUCUAGGUUCUUCUCAUGUGCUACAGUGACUCUAGGCAUUUCCCAUCAUCGUGUAAUAAACCAGCCAGUUACUUAGCCAUCUGAAAAGAAUACGAAAAUAGAAACAUCACCCCACUGGAUCAGAUCUGUGAAGAGAGCCGCAGCUUCGUGUCCAGUCUGACAGCGGGAGUUUGUGGGAGCGUGAUCAUUUCAGAGCUAGAAACUUCACCUUCAAAACCUUCCCAAGGAGCCUGUAGGAACCUCUUUACCAAUUUUUACUCCUUGUUGUCUACUGAAUAGCUUCAGGUGGUAUCUUUUAAAGCUUCAGAUAAAAAUACAUUUAGGGCCCUGUGUCAGUCCUUAACAGCAUCGUGGUGGUGAGAGAGAGGGGACUAAGGCAUCAGUUGUUUUUUACUAAGAACUAAAGGACUGUGUUUUAGGGAUUGCAAAUGGGUAGAUGAAAGCUGGAGAAAUUGAAAGUGGCAAAAUUAUUCAAGAAGUUGCAAUGUUCAAACAAGGCAAAAAUUGUCAUGAUAAGUGUCUCUGGUUUACAGUGAAGGUAACUGGAGUUUGGUGGCGGGUUUCAGUGCCUCUGCGGGCUGGAGAAAGUACCCAGUGCAGGGUCAGCAAACUGCGGCUUGGGGGUCAGAUCCGAGCUACCACCUGUUUUUGUAGAGCCCAUGAGUUAAGAAUGCUUUUCGAAUGUUUAAAUGGUUGAAAAAUAAAUCAAAAGAAUAUUUUAUGACAUGUGAAAGUUAUAUGAAGUUCACAUUUCAGUGUCCAUAAAUAAAAUUUUGUUGGAACACAACCACGUCC